UGAAUGGUUUGACGAGAGCUGUGCUGUCUCUUCUGAAAUAUUUAGAAAUUAACUUUUAGGUGAAGAGGCCUAAAUUUAUUUAAGGGACAAGAAGACCCUGUUGAGCUUUAGUGAUGUUGUAAAUGAAAUAAGCAAGUGUUGCUGGUUUGUUAUAUAUUUAUUAUAAUAAAAAUUUACAAAUAAUCUUUAGUUGGGGCGACUGAGGAACAUAAAAAGCUUCCUUAUAAUAUAGUUAUUUAGGUUAUUAAGUGAGUAUUAAUGCUUAUGUGUUAUUUUGAUCCAAAUUAUUUUGAUUAAAGGAAAAAGUUACCACAGGGAUAACAGCGUAAUCUUUCUGGAGAGAUCUUAUCGAAAGAAGGGUUUGCGACCUCGAUGUUGGACUAAGAUACCCUAAGGGUGCAGAAGCUCUUAAAGGUUGGUCUGUUCGACCAUUAAAAUCUU
This 441-nucleotide ribosomal RNA is filed under the name Gibbula racketti. RNAcentral describes it as "partial 16S ribosomal RNA". It matches the Rfam family "Bacterial large subunit ribosomal RNA", at positions 1993 to 2597 of the family's 2925-position model. Lineage: Eukaryota; Metazoa; Mollusca; Gastropoda; Trochida; Trochidae. The record is from RNAcentral.